This 1973-nucleotide ribosomal RNA is filed under the name human gut metagenome. RNAcentral's name for it is "bacterial LSU rRNA". It matches the Rfam family "Bacterial large subunit ribosomal RNA", at positions 1 to 1985 of the family's 2925-position model. The record is from RNAcentral.
UUAAGUGAACAAGGGCAUACGGCGGAUGCCUUGGCGCCAAGAGCCGAUGAAGGACGCGGUAAGCUGCGAAAAGGCAUGGGUAGGAGCAAGCAUCCUGUGAUCCAUGCAUAUCCGAAUGGGGCAACCCACCAUCAGUCAUGUGAUGGUACGAAAGAGGCAGACCUGGGGAACUGAAACAUCUAAGUACCCAGAGGAAAAGUAAUCAAUUGAGAUUCCCUAAGUAGCGGCGAGCGAAAGGGGAAGAGCCCAAACCAGAUAACUUCGGUUGUCUGGGGUUGAGGACCGGCAAAAAGAGGAAACUUCUUAGUCGAAUGGUUUGGAAAGGCCAUGCACAGAAGGUAAAACACCUGUAGGCGAAAAGAAGUCAAUCGGGCUGGUAUCCAGAGUACUGCGAGACACGUGAAACCUUGCAGGAAGCAGGGGGGACCACCCUCCAAGGCAAAAUACUACUUGGCGACCGAUAGCGCAUAGUACCGUGAGGGAAAGGUGAAAAGAACCCCGGGAGGGGAGUGAAAUAGAACCUGAAACCGUAUGUCUACAAGCAGUCGAAGCACCUUAAGAGUGCGACGGCGUGCCUAUUGAAGAAUGAACCGGCGAGUUACAUUAUGUUGCGAGGUUAAGUGGGAGACACGGAGCCGAAGCGAAAGCGAGUCUUAAUAGGGCGACUAGUAACAUGGUGUAGACCCGAAACCGCAGUGAUCUAUCCAUGGUCAGGUUGAAGCGCAGGUAAAAAUGCGUGGAGGACCGAACCCGUGAGUGUUGAAAAACUUUGGGAUGAACCGUGGAUAGGGGUGAAAUGCCAAUCGAACGCGGAGAUAGCUGGUACUCCCCGAAAUAGCUUUAGGGCUAGCCUCAGGGAAGAUUAUAGACGGUAGAGCACUGAUCUGGCAAGGGGGCGUAAAGCCUACCGACCCUAGUCAAACUUCGAAUGGCUAUAAUUAAGACCCUGGGAGUCAGACUGCGAGUGAUAAGACCCGUAGUCAAGAGGGAAACAGCCCAGACCGCCGACUAAGGUCCCCAAUGCUGUACUAAGUGGAAAAGGAUGUAAGACUUCAUAAACAACCAGGAUGUUGGCUUAGAAGCAGCCACCAUUAAAAGAGUGCGUAAUAGCUCACUGGUCGAGAGGCCUUGCGCCGAAGAUGUCCGGGGCUCAAGUACAGAACCGAAGUCGCGGCAGGAUUAUAUAAUUCUGGGUAGGGGAGCGUUGUAUAUCCGACUGAAGGUGUACCGGAAGGAGCGCUGGAGGAUAUACAAGAGAGAAUGCCGGUAUGAGUAGCGAAAAGAACAGUGAGAAUCUGUUCCACCGAAAGCCUAAGGUUUCCUGAGCAACGCUCGUCGACUCAGGGUAAGUCGGGACCUAAGCCGAGGCAAAAAGCAUAGGCGAUGGACAACAGGUUAAUAUUCCUGUACCGCUUCAAAUCGUUUGAGCAAUGGAGUGACACAGAAGGUAGCUUGAGCACGCGAAUGGAUGUGCGUGUCGAAGGUAGUAGGUUGCAGUAUAGGCAAAUCCGUACUGUAUAAGACCGAGAACUGAUAGAUAGACGAUACUUCGGUAAAGUCAAAUUCAAGUGAGCCAUGCUGUCGAGAAAAGCUUCUAGUGAGAGAUGAGGCGCCCGUACCGAAACCGACACAGGUAGGCGGGGAGAGAAUCCUAAGGUGCGCGGGACAACCCUCGUUAAGGAACUCGGCAAAUUGUAUCCGUAACUUAGGGAUAAGGAUAGCCGGAGGAUGUGAAGGGAUUUACUUCUGGAGCGUCAGCCGGUGGCACAAGAGAGGCCCAAGCGACUGUUUAGCACAAACACAGGUGCCUGCAAAAGAGAAAUCUGACGUAUAGGUGCUGACACCUGCCCGGUGCUGGAAGGUUAAGAGGAGGGCUUAGAGGCAACUCGAAGGCUUGAAUUGAAGCCCCAGUAAACGGCGGCCGUAACUAUAACGGUCCUAAGGUAGCGAAAUUCCUUGUCGGGUAAGUUCCG